Molecule: small nuclear RNA, 102 nt
Filed under: Macaca fascicularis (crab-eating macaque)
Lineage: Eukaryota; Metazoa; Chordata; Mammalia; Primates; Cercopithecidae
Source: RNAcentral
UUGCUUCAGCAGCACAUAUACUAAAAUUGAAAUGAUACAGAGAAGAUUAGCAUGGCCCUGCACAAGAUUGACAUGCAAAUUUGUGAAGCAGUCCAUAUUUUU